Molecule: ribosomal RNA, 138 nt
Filed under: Pantoea stewartii
Lineage: Bacteria; Pseudomonadati; Pseudomonadota; Gammaproteobacteria; Enterobacterales; Erwiniaceae
Description: partial 23S ribosomal RNA
Rfam family: Bacterial large subunit ribosomal RNA (bases 1-118)
Source: RNAcentral
CCCUGUGGCGCCGGUGCUCCUGAAGGGAGGUUGAAGACGACGUCGUUUAUAGGCCGGGGGUGUAAGGGCAGCGAUGCGUUGAGCUUACCGGUACUAAUGACCCGUGAGGCUUAACCUUACAACGCCAGAGGCGUUUUG